RNAcentral lists this Y RNA (113 nucleotides) under Carlito syrichta (Philippine tarsier). RNAcentral's name for it is "Y RNA (ENSTSYG00000025885.1)". It matches the Rfam family "Y RNA". Rfam says of the family: Y RNAs are components of the Ro ribonucleoprotein particle (Ro RNP), in association with Ro60 and La proteins. The Y RNAs and Ro60 and La proteins are well conserved, but the function of the Ro RNP is not known. Lineage: Eukaryota; Metazoa; Chordata; Mammalia; Primates; Tarsiidae. The record is from Rfam by way of RNAcentral.
AGCUGGUCCGAAGGUAAAGAGUUAUCUCAGUUGAUUGUUUGCAGUCAGUUACAGAUCAAGUUCCUUGUUCUGUUCUUCUCCCUCUUCUCACUACUGCACUUGACUGGUCUUAU